AACGAACGCUGGCGGCAUGCCUAACACAUGCAAGUCGAACGAACCCUUCGGGGUUAGUGGCGCACGGGUGCGUAACGCGUGGGAAUCUGCCCUUUGCUUCGGAAUAACUCAGGGAAACUUGUGCUAAUACCGGAUGAUGUCUUCGGACCAAAGAUUUAUCGGCAAGGGAUGAGCCCGCGUAGGAUUAGGUAGUUGGUGGGGUAAAGGCCUACCAAGCCGACGAUCCUUAGCUGGUCUGAGAGGAUGGUCAGCCACACUGGGACUGAGACACGGCCCAGACUCCUACGGGAGGCAGCAGUGGGGAAUAUUGGACAAUGGGCGCAAGCCUGAUCCAGCAAUGCCGCGUGAGUGAUGAAGGCCCUCGGGUCGUAAAGCUCUUUUACCAGGGAUGAUAAUGACAGUACCUGGAGAAUAAGCUCCGGCUAACUCCGUG
This 433-nucleotide ribosomal RNA is filed under the name uncultured bacterium. RNAcentral's name for it is "partial 16S ribosomal RNA". It matches the Rfam family "Bacterial small subunit ribosomal RNA", at positions 29 to 507 of the family's 1533-position model. The record is from RNAcentral.